Molecule: ribosomal RNA, 253 nt
Filed under: uncultured bacterium
Lineage: Bacteria
Description: partial 16S ribosomal RNA
Rfam family: Bacterial small subunit ribosomal RNA
Source: RNAcentral
UACGGAGGGUGCAAGCGUUAAUCGGAAUUACUGGGCGUAAAGCGUGCGUAGGUGGCCUGUCAAGUCAGAUGUGAAAGCCCUGGGCUUAACCUGGGAACGGCAUUUGAAACUGGCAAGCUAGAGUUAGGUAGAGGGAAGUGGAAUUCCGGGUGUAGCGGUGAAAUGCGUAGAUAUCCGGAGGAACACCAGUGGCGAAGGCGGCUUCCUGGACCCAAACUGACGCUGAGGUACGAAAGCGUGGGUAGCAAACAGG